Molecule: ribosomal RNA, 413 nt
Filed under: uncultured eukaryote
Lineage: Eukaryota
Description: eukaryotic LSU rRNA
Rfam family: Eukaryotic large subunit ribosomal RNA
Source: RNAcentral
GAACAACACUUGGAUGUGAGUUAGUCGAUCCUAAACGGUGGGUUAACUCCAUAUACAUGAAUACUUGUAUUCUGUACCGUGAAAGGGAAACAGGUUAAUAUUCCUGUACUAUAUCAAGGAGGUAAAAUGGUAACAUAAAUGAACUCAAAUACAUCAGUAGAAUAACCAGGAAGAGUUCUCUUUUCUUCUUAACAACUUCCUCGUAAGGGGUGUAUAAUAACCAUGGAAUCAAUUUAGUUGGAGAAAUGGUUAAAGAGUUGGCAGAGUAAUUCAAUUUCUGAAUUAUCUGGUUAGGUUCUAAUGAUACAUAAAAAUUUGAGGGAAUGAUCUUACUUGAAUAGUCGUACUCAUAACCGCAGCAGGUCUCCAAGGUUAGAAGCCUCUAGUUGGCAGAAUAAUGUAGGUAAGGGAAG